UCAAACUGUUGGCAAGUUCAGUUUCUUCUAAGGGCCCUCUCUUGGCUUAUAGGUGGCUGUCUUCCCCCGUGUCCUCACAUGGUCUUUCCACCACAUCCCAAUCUCUCCGAAGAAGGACACCAGUCAUACUGGAUUUGUUUCUACCUGAAUGAUCUCAUUUUAACUCAGUUACCUCUUUGAAGAGCCAUCUCCAAAUGCAAGCGCAUUCUAAUAUACUGGCGAUUGGGACUUCAACAUAUGAACUUGGAGUAGGCCCAGAACAAGCUACUACAGGGCGAGAACUUGCCCUGCCACACAAGAUGCGACAGGUUGUGGAUGUCGCAUCUGUCUCACCGAGAGAGACAGGUUCAAACAUACAAGAAGGAAAGGAUGGUGCUUUAUUCCUCAUAGAGUGCGACCAGAAACUACUGCUGUCCUGAACUCCAGGUAGUCCCCAUAGAAUUUCUACCACCGAUUUGUAUAAAAAGUGUGCUAUCUACCAUAUCUAAUCUAGACUUAAAAGAUGAUUUCUGUAUCAAAUGAAAGUGAACAAGAGCAUCUGUUUGCUUCAUCAUAUAUAAAGCAUCUAGACAUCUGCACUAUAUUGUCUUAAACAUCUAUAUAAACUGAAAAAAUAAAAAAGCGUGAAUGAAAUAUUAAAA
Long non-coding RNA from Talpa occidentalis (Iberian mole), 641 nucleotides. RefSeq lists it as uncharacterized. The record is from RefSeq and is a predicted model, not a curated record. NCBI's taxonomy places the organism in Eukaryota, Metazoa, Chordata, Mammalia, Eulipotyphla, Talpidae. The transcript is spliced from 3 exons.